This is a long non-coding RNA of Lepidothrix coronata (blue-crowned manakin), 546 nucleotides long. RefSeq lists it as uncharacterized. The record is from RefSeq and is a predicted model, not a curated record. The transcript has 3 exons. NCBI's taxonomy places the organism in Eukaryota, Metazoa, Chordata, Aves, Passeriformes, Pipridae.
AGAGUUAAUACAUUUGGGAACUUCCUGGAAAAGAGUUAAGAGGCACCAUGACAAGCUCCCAAGGACCUCCCUUUGUCCAAGAGGAAAAGAAAUGGUCUCCUGGGCUGUUUAUAAACUCUCACAUUCCCACCUUGUGUGAGAACAGUCAUCUGAAGAACCAGCUCUUAAAAUGAUGACACACCAUCCUCUAGACCUGCUGUUUUUAAAAUGGAUAGAGAGUAGAUGGAUGAAAAUAGUGGUGAAAAGGUACUUCUGGUGUUUUCAACCAGUCGUGACAGGAUGCAGAAAUUCUUUGAAAAAUUCCUUGAAGCUCCACGUUCUCCAAGUCCUUCAUUUAGACAAAGCCAUAAAAAUAAAAUCUGAGAGUAAGCUUAUUUCUUCCCAUGUUUGUUGUUGCUGUUGUUGUUGUUGUUUUUCUUCCAAAGGAGAUACUGAGAGUGUGGGCACACAAGGGGCAAAUUAGUUUUGUAGAUCCAAGAACAGUAAAUGAAGUUGACACAGAUAGUUUUGUAAGGACAAAGAGAGGGAUGUUGUGUAACAUUCUGG